UGGGGGAGCCUCAGGGCUGCAGGGAGAAAAUCCAGGCACAGCCCCAGCCCGGCGCUGCCUGUGGGAAUUCAGGGAUUCAGGACUAAGGGGAGGCUUUGGUUGGAGUUCAGAGUGUGCAGAGUGACUCUGGGUGGUGCUGUGAGGGCAGGAGACCUUCAGCAGGACCUGCUGCACUGUGUCCUGCCCCCCUUCACCAAAAUCAGUGUUCUACAGCCAUGCCCAGCACCUGGCAGGCAGAAAUGCAAAAUUAGGAGGGGUACAGAACAAUUCCUGUCACUGAUGGGCUGUUCUGAGGUACAGAACAAUUCCUGUCACUGAUGGGCUGUUCUGAGGUACAGAACAAUUCCUGUCACUGAUGGGCUCUUCUGAGGUACAGAACAAUUCCUGUCACUGACGGGCUGUUCUGAGGUACAGAACAAUUCCUGUCACUGAUGGGCUGUUCUGAGGUACAGAACAAUUCCUGUCACUGAUGGGCUCUUCUGAGGUGCAUCCUCACUCCUCUGUGCAAACAAAUGAGAAGUGAGAUCCUGGCUCUGACUGGAAGUGAAACAAGGAGAAAAUUGGCAAUUUAGCUGCAAAUCACUGCCUGUAUUUAGCUAUCUGGGACACUGGGAGUGAAUCCUGGGCAGCUUCAGAGAGAACUUUGGACUUUGCCUGCACUGUUCCCUCAUUUUGUGCUGUUAUAAACCCCAGUGACACAGAGCCCACAGCACACGGGCUUAUCACCUCCACCUCUGAGAACCUGUUUAUGGGUUUGAAAUGGUGUCAAUAAUUCAGUGUAGCAAUGGUCCAAACUGCUUCUGCCACCGGGCAGCACGGGCAGGGCACCAGGGCUGCACUCCAGGCACUGAAGCAGGGCUGGCACAUUCUGCACAGCGGAUUUUGGGGCAGCUCUGGUCGCUGGCAGUGUGUAAAAUGGCACACAAAACACAGAACUCUGCAUUUCAUAGCUCAGCUGGUGUGAGAAGCACGAAGCAGUUCCUGCGUGUGGUGGAAAAUGAAACUGCUCCGGGCUGUGUUUGUGUGCUGGGAGUGUUUAAGGACCCAUCUCGCAGAUUUUCUCUGUGUUUUAAUGAGUGCCCGAGCCCCUGGAAUUGUUCUUUAUCUGCCAUUCCCUGAGCAGCUCCUGCUUCCACACCAGCCUCGGGGCUGUUCCUGAAGUACAGCUCAUCCCAGAGACAAUCCCAGGGAUUUUUGCCUGGUUUCCAGGCUUUCCGUGGGGAAUUGUUCUGCAAUAUCUUCCUGAAGGACUCGGUUUUGCACUGGAUAUUACAAUCUCCUGUACUUUGCCAGGUGUGCCAAACGAGCGCUGAUGUUUCAUUAAAGAUGCAAUAUUUAGUUUUAAGUGAUAAA
Molecule: long non-coding RNA, 1353 nt
Organism: Catharus ustulatus (Swainson's thrush)
Lineage: Eukaryota; Metazoa; Chordata; Aves; Passeriformes; Turdidae
Exons: 2
Source: RefSeq, a predicted model, not a curated record